Homo sapiens (human) is the source of this 6816-nucleotide long non-coding RNA. RefSeq lists it as uncharacterized. The record is from RefSeq and is a predicted model, not a curated record. The transcript is spliced from 2 exons. Lineage: Eukaryota; Metazoa; Chordata; Mammalia; Primates; Hominidae.
UUCUGGAAGCAAAGCCAAAGAAGAAGAUGAAAAAAUUUAAAGAGUAUCACCUCCUCAAGUCUCUGUGUGAGUUUAAAUUUUAAGAGGAGCUACUACAUCACAGGAGAUAUUUGGAAAUUUGCAUUUUCCAAGAGCAGUCUUUUCUCCAGAUAAAAUAAAAACCAUCUCUUUUACACCAGGCCUUAUAGCCCAAAAGAUGAUGGAGCAGAAAAGUUUAUAGAUCAGUCUUUGUGCUGUUGAGACACAUGACAGAUAACCAGGCAACUUUUCUGUGUGAAACAUAACACACUCCCAACGGUGUAUGUGCCCCAAGCUUAUGUGUGAUCCCUGGAGCUACCUGUAACUCCACCCAUUUUUCUCCUGUUUCAGAAAGCACACCAGAAUGCUACCGAGAAUGACAGUCAAAGGGAUAACCUUGAAUCUGCUCUAUUCAUUUAAAAAAGCCCAUCAAACCUUAAUGAUCAUAUAAAAAGUCACUUGCAAAGUACCUUGCCAGUGAUUAAAACACACCUGUGAGUUGCAGAUGCUGCCGUUGACAGCUCUAGCUAAUGAGUCAGAUCCACUCAUUUUACAGAUGAGACCCAGAAGGUAGGGUGAUUUUCAAAAAGUCACACAUAAGUAGCUGGUGGCAAAGCUGGAACCCUUGGGUAGCAGGAGAACAGAGAAGGGCUGGGGAGCAGGGGCCCGUCUAAAGAUGAGUAGCUGGGCGAGGCAGGUGGGUCUGAGGUGGCUCAGAAAGGUAGCCCAGGCCCCUAACUCAAGACAAAGGGGCCGAGUUAGGGGCAGGAUUUGUUUGACCAUUGCUGUUAACUUGUAGGGAUUCCCAAGGGAAAGACAGGAGGAAAAACACUUAAUUUCUGAGUCUCUCUCUGCUGGGCACUGAAGAUACAGAAAUGACAACCACAGAUUUCAGGUCCUCUCCUGAGGAAUCUUCUACCCAGAAGGGGACAGCCAGGAAAACAAAGACCUAAUAUAUGAUAGAAGAAAUGUUAUAUUUUGUAUUUAUUUAUCUUUUUAAAGACACGGUCUUUUACCUAGGCUAGAGUGCACUGUGCAGUGGUACCUUCUUAGCUCACCGCAGCCUUGAACUCCCAGGCUCAAGCGAUCCUCCCACCUCAGCCUCCCGAGUAGCAUGCCCCACCACACCUGGAUAAUUUUUAAAUUUUUUGUAGAGAUGGGGAGGGGGGGUCUCACUUUGUUGCCCAGGCUGGUUUUGAACUACUGGCCUCAAGCUAUCCCCCAGCUUUAGCCUCCCAAAGGGUUGGGAUUAUAGGCGUGAGCCACCGCGCCCGGCUGAAAAGGACUUUAGUUCUGUGCUCCUCACACUUUAUUGGGCUGAAUCACCUGGUGUCUUGGUAAUUAUGGAUUCCGACUUAGGCUAGAGAGAACUCAAGAUUCUGCAUUUCUAGCAAGCACCCAGGUGAUCCAGGUGUUGCUGGCCCUCUGGCCACACCUUGAGUAGCCAGGCUUAAGAGCACAGGAAAGUCUAAUAUGGACUGUUCACUAUACCACUAGAUGGAAUGAAACAUACAAUAUGAAAUGUGAUUCUCCACAAUGACACCAAUUUUUUGUAAGGCCCACCUUGCUCACACAUGAGCAUGCCUUCUUUAUAGGCAACCUGACAAAUUGCAGAGCUAAGGAUCAGACACAGAAGCAUGAGACAAGGCGGAGACCCUAAGCCUCCAAGCAGUCAUAGAAUCCAGACUGCUAUGGACUACGGCAUUUGAAGCAAAGCUUAUUUAGAUCUCAAGCGACAGGAAAGCCCCAGCUGACAUACAUCUGGGUUACAUUUUGAUUUACAACCUUGUCAACUUGUUAAAUUCCCCUUCUGAAACUCUUUCUUCCUGUAUGGAGUAGCCCCUGAUCUGGGGUCCAAGCUUGCUUAUAUAAUAGUUUUCUACUGAGUCCCAUUACCGAGAACAUGGCCAGAUGGGUCGUGCUAACUCCUGUACAGCUCUAGUGUUUUUAUUUGACUCUGGUUUUGUGACAUCUUUGCCACCUGCUAAUGACUGUGGUCUACAGGCCAGCCGGACAGCCUGUCAUCUCGGAGCCUGAGAUUCAUACGGAUGCAAGCAGGUGCCAUUUCAGUGUGAUCUCUCUGGGACAAGGCUGCUUUUCAGAAGAAGGUGGAAGCAUCUGGGUGGCUGAAGUGCUGCUAAUAGAUUUAAUAGCCUUGCUCCAGGAAGGCAGAGGAAGUGCUGAGCUUUUUAUCAGCACCGAUGAGCAGGGCUGUUUUAAGAGAAUGAUAUUGGCUCUUUAGACAGACACAUGUGGGUGGCUGUCUGGGUUGGCACCUAUAUGGAUCUCACUGCCAUUAAGGGGGACUCUGAGGUGAUAAAUUAGACUUUGUUAUUUGAGCAGUCUCCUCUUUCUUUUUAGGAAACCCAACAGCUCUCUUGUUCAAUUCCAAGAAGCCUCUCUGUAGCCAGCCCCGGGGCAAACCUUAUCACUGCAAACCUUUCUGGGCCUUCAACAAAGGCAGCCACAUGAGGAACAGGGGAUCCAGCCUUUUAAAGUGAUCAAGACAUCCAGAAAGCAAGAGGGCUUUGGCUUCUGGAGAUUGCUUUGGAGGGGGGAUACCAGGGGGGUGAUUUUUCAUUUUGGUAGAACUACGUAAGCAGAAUUAGGAGACAGAAUGCAAUCAUCUGAAUGAAUAAUUAGCCCCUGGUCUUACAAAUAUAAUUAAUGUUUUUUAAAUUGAUGCAUUUUGCAUUAAAAAAAUCUUCUAGGUGGCACAUGGCCCACAAUUGUGAAGUUCUUCAGACCAGUGGUUCUUUGAUGUAAUAGCAGUGAUCACUGAGAAAAAACGGAGUGGGAUUAAAACUGGAAAUUAUGCAUAACUUGUAUCCUAUUUUAUCUAUAUUGCUGCCUUAAAACUAAAGCAGCAGCAGCAAUAACAACAACACACACAAUUCAGCUUCUGAGAGUUGAACGUGACCCCACAUAUAUGUCUCUCCCUGGGGAAAAGGUCCAGAACCAUUGCUCAUAGUGUAAGAGUUUGAAGAAACCAGUUUAUUGAGGGUGACACCCUCAUUUGGUAGAUAAGAAAACAGGCAGAGAGGUAAGUGACUUACCCAAGGCUGCAUGGUAAACUACAGACAGAGCCAAGAUAGAACGCAGCUGCUUUAUCUCCUGGUAAAAUUCAUCCCCAUGACAGAAUUGUUUUUAAAAAUUUCACCUAAUCUUCUUCCAUUAUUUAAAAAAUUAAUUGGGUCAUACAAAGAAGCUGGGGAUGCCACUUCAAACUAACCAUUAGCAGCAUUUAAAAAUGAGCUUUCUUUUUUAUUUUUAUUUUUAGAAACAGGGUCUCACUCUGUCACCUAGGCUGGAAUGCAGUGGUGCAAUCAUAGCUCAUUGUAACCUUGAACUUUUAGGCUAAUUUUUAAAAAAAAUUUUUGUAGAGACAAGGUCUCCCUAUGUUGCCCAGGCUUGUCUUCAACUCCUGGCCUCAAGUGAUCCUCCCACCUCAGCCUCUCAAAGGGCUGGGAUUACAGGUGUGAGCCACCACACUCAGCCAUAACUAGCUUUCGACGUAGUGUUUAGUCCUUAGCUCUUAGAUUCAAUAAUUGUCCUGAAAUUUAAAUGUUUUUUUCUUAAGUUAUGAUGAAAUGUCAAAGAUCUUUAAUCAUUAAGGUGUGCUAUGUUAUAAAGAUCUAUUUUACUUGUAAAGUUUAGAAAAAAAAUCAGAAAAAGAUUAUUCUAGUUGAUAUGAAAAAUUAAAAAAAGUUCUAUGACACAGCAAGCAACAUUUCUGCAGGAAAAUUAUUAACAUGGCAGAAUAUUAGUGGAUAAACUAGUCCCACCUUUCACUCUCUUUUUUUUUUCCUACCUACUAUGUGAAGAGAAAUUGGCUAGAUGACAGCUUCUAAUGGGCUUCCAAUUUAGUCUGGUUUGUACUGUCUCUUUUAGAGCAAUUUUGCAGCUCUUCAGAGGCUUACAGGAUAAGAAAGUGAGAAAGUCAACUGGGGAUCAAAUCUUUGACAACAUCUAUUUCAGGUCCUGUGCUCCACAGGGUGAAGAGGAGUUUCCAGACUAUCAGCUGAUGGGACUGGGGCUGUCUACCCAGGGAAGAAAAGAUUUACAAGACACAACGCUGCUUCACAUUGCUGGAGGGCUAUUGUGGGGCAGAGAUAUUCCCCCAAAGCCCCCUAAAACCAAAUCUAAGACCCACAGAUAGAAAUUUUUACAAAUCACUAGCCUGGAUGAAAAUUUAGCAAGAAAAGGGCUAAAAAGAAGGUACCCAUGGAUCCCUGAAGCCCAUCUUGAAUUAAGAAAACCUCUUUCCAUUUUACUGAUGAAAAUCUGAGGCUCAGAGAAGUGGAAUGGCAUGAAAUAGAACUAUGGAAGUAAUUCCCCAUGGGCCAGAUGACUUUGUGAGCAGAUGAGUCAGACACAUGGGCCAACCAUUAACAAUCUGGUGAUGUUCACGGGAGCAUUGACUAAUUACCAAGUGAAAAGGAGAUGAGCAGUAGCAAUGGAAGUGUUAUGAGCAGUUUUUUAAAAAUCUGAAAGUUGGUUUAUGAAAAAGGAUUUAGAUUUUUCUCUUUGGCUUCCAGGGGUAGCUUCAAGACCAAAGGGUAGAAAAGAACUUUUGCUAGACAGAGCCCUCCACUAAUGGAAUAUGCUAUCUUGAGAGGUACAGGACUUCUUGCACUUGACUUUUUGGGGACACAGAACAAUCUCUCGUAGAAGGGACUUAAGCAUCACAAGAGUUUGAACUGGGUUACCAAAACUGGACGUGACGAUGAAACUCUUAGAAACAUAAUCACAUAUACUAGCCAGGAAGGAGCUCAGGUCUCCCAGUAAGUGAAGUGAAGAAAGUUCAGGAUGGCUGAGACAUCAAGUGAGAGGGUGGUGGUAGUGGAGAGAAAUGAGACUUAGAAAUGUAAGUGGAAGUGAAAGAAAUGUUGAAGGAUCUUACAGAGCACCAUGGCUGGUAUUUAAGAAUGAGGGGGCUGGGCGUGGUGGCUCAUGCUUGUAAUCCCAGCUCUUUGCGAGGCUGAGGUGGGUGGGUUGAGGUCAGGAGUUUGACACCAGCCUAGCCAACAUGGUGAAACCCCAUCUCUACUAAAAAUACAAAAAUUAGCUGGUCGUGGUGGCACACACCUGUAAUCUCAGCUACUUGGGAGGCUAAGGCAGGAGAAUGGCUUGAACCCAGGAGGUGGAGGUUGCAGUGAGCUGAGAUCGAGCCACUGCACUCCAGCCUGGAUGACAGAAAGACUCUGUCUCAAAAAAAAGAAGAACGAGGGUUUGUAUAGAGUGGUGGUGGCACAGAAGAAUGAAAGCAAAAGGCUAUCAAAGGGGGAAUGCAUACAAUCAAUGGUAGCAGCACUAGCAAGCACAUAAAAAGGCCAGAAGAGAGACAGACUGUGGUGAUGGGCUGCUUGCAUUUGCAUGUCGGUGUGUUGCAGAGUCUGAAGUUAUAGUGAAAACAGGACAUGCAAAUGGAAACGUCCAAUGAUCUAAAGUGUUGGCAAGUGACAAAAGCAUAGCAGAAAUGCCCAGUAGGCAACUGAAGAUAUGAGAUUAGAGUUCCAGGAGGUCAGGAUGUGAGACAGAUUAGGGGGCUAUCUACAGAGAUGAAUUAAUUUAAAAUUUAAGAGUAGAUACAUUUUCAAUGGAAAAAAGUAUAGCAUGAGCAGAAGUCUAAAAAGUUUGCCUUCAAGGCUGACUGCAGUGUGGAGAUGGAAUAAUUUAAAAGAUGUGAGAAGGGAGAAUCAGAGAGUUACAGGAGAUCUGAGAUUUGAGUGAAAUAAGAACCUGGCAAAAAGGGAGCUUCAGGGAAGAAGGGUGAUCAACAUAAAUAUGGUUUUAUUUUAGUGUACACUCAACCGUGUGCUUUGGCAGGUAAAUUAUAGUAAUGUUCAUUUUGGCAACAACAUAGGCAGUGCAGUGUGAAUUAUAAAGUGCUUUCAAAUUGAUUAUAGAUAUUCCUUAAAUAGCAUUUUCUAACAUUACCUGUCUUAGUAAAUAUCGCUAUAACUUUUUCUCUCCCGGUUUCUCUUUCAGUAAAUUAGAAAUCACUUUACUUAAGUUUAAUAAGUGCCUUUCACAUCCUCAUUUUGAGGAAAAUGAUUUCUGCCAUCCUAACAUAAUAAACUGGGAAAGGUACACCGAGGUGACAUGCUGUGCCUGGGCCAGCUUAGUCAAUGAGGCAGCAGCAGCAAGGACUGAGUUUAGCAUCCUGAUGUUUGUUUCUUCAAGCAAGAAUUAAACGCAAAAUUAAACACUGACUCAGAUUUUAAGAAAUAACUUUUGAGAAAUAGAACAAAUGAAAUCAGUUUCUCCACCACUUAAGUAUAUCUCUUAGAGAUCUACAGCCUCCCUUUAGGGGACAUACAAAGUCAGUUGUGUUGCCUUUGUUGAGUCCCACCUUAUAUUCAAGUAGGUAUGACUACAAAUUUUGAAAAUAGAUUGUCACACAAUAAACUGGAGUUUAUGGAAACAUCAGUAGAAGGAAAUACAACAUUCCAUCCCUUUACAGAGAUCAUUUACUUGCAACUCAGGAUAAUUUGUCAUGUGUAUUAUCUACUUAUGCUUGCCACUCACAUGCAGAGAACUUUUAUAAGAAGGCUGGAAAAAGAGGGGUGUAGAGGCUUUAUGUUGAUACUGGAUUCUUUGGCAAAAGUGAAAGGAAGAGGGCAUCAUUAAGAGAAGAGUACAACAUAGUAUUUCCUCGGAUGCCAUCUACUUCAGUAGCUUUAGAGUCACAGAAAAUGGUAUGUUUCUCUAUUUACUGAAGGCUGACAUGAUGAUUAGCAUUCCAGUACAUAGUGGUAUUUAACUUCUCAUUAAAAUGACUUAUCUUGCCUCUUA